GGACGUAAGGGUGACCUGGCCAUGACAUCUGCCACUCUACUGAUUGCCAGGGUUAAUUAGCUGACCUGGCGGGCUUUAUGAUGUCCUCUUCUGUGUCACUGCUCCACAAGUGUCCUUCCCAAAUCUGUGUGCUCAGGUGUACCCUCACCAGCUGAGGGCCCUUCUUUAACUGAGCGCAUGCAGAUACUACUCCCUGAGGAAGCCUCCUCACAAGCUCUUAAGAAUCAGGCAGCUCCGGGGGGAGGGUAUAGGGGACGUUUGGGAUAGCAUUUGAAAUGUAAAUGAAGAAAAUAUCUAAUAAAAAAUGU
Molecule: small nuclear RNA, 308 nt
Filed under: Mus caroli (Ryukyu mouse)
Lineage: Eukaryota; Metazoa; Chordata; Mammalia; Rodentia; Muridae
Description: sRNA (MGP_CAROLIEiJ_G0008504.1)
Rfam family: 7SK RNA
About the family: 7SK was discovered as an abundant small nuclear RNA in the mid-70s but a possible function has only recently been suggested.
Source: RNAcentral